CCUACGGGUGGCAGCAGUGAGGAAUAUUGGUCAAUGGGCGCGAGCCUGAACCAGCCAAGUAGCGUGAAGGAUGACUGCCCUACGGGUUGUAAACUUCUUUUAUAAAGGAGUAAAGUGAGGCACGUGUGCCUUUUUGUCUGUACUUUAUGAAUAAGGAUCGGCUAACUCCGUGCCAGCAGCCGCGGUAAUACGGAGGAUCCGAGCGUUAUCCGGAUUUAUUGGGUUUAAAGGGCGCGUAGAUGGGUUGUUAAGUCAGUUGUGAAAGUUUGCGGCUCAACCGUAAAAUUGCAAUUGAUACUGGCAGUCUUGAGUACAGUUGAGGUAGGCGGAAUUCGUGGUGUAGCGGUGAAAUGCUUAGAUAUCACGAAGAACUCCGAUUGCGAAGGCAGCCUACUAAACUGCCACUGACAUUGAGGCUCGAAAGUGUGGGUAGCAAACAGGAUUAGAUACCCUGGUAGUC
RNAcentral lists this ribosomal RNA (460 nucleotides) under uncultured bacterium. RNAcentral's name for it is "partial 16S ribosomal RNA". It matches the Rfam family "Bacterial small subunit ribosomal RNA", at positions 338 to 795 of the family's 1533-position model. The record is from RNAcentral.